UUCGCCCUUAGAGUUUGAUCCUGGCUCAGAACGAACGCUGGCGGCAGGCUUAACACAUGCAAGUCGAACGCCCCUUUCGGGGGGAGUGGCAGACGGGUGAGUAACACGUGGGAACGUACCUCUUUGUUCGGAAUAACUCAUGGAAACGUGAGCUAAUACCGGAUACGCCCUUUUGGGGAAAGAUUUAUCGCAGAGAGAUCGGCCCGCGUCUGAUUAGCUAGUUGGUGAGGUAAUGGCUCACCAAGGCGACGAUCAGUAGCUGGUCUGAGAGGAUGAUCAGCCACACUGGGACUGAGACACGGCCCAGACUCCUACGGGAGGCAGCAGUGGGGAAUAUUGGACAAUGGGGGCAACCCUGAUCCAGCCAUGCCGCGUGAGUGAUGAAGGCCUUAGGGUUGUAAAGCUCUUUUAUCCGGGAAGAUAAUGACUGUACCGGAAGAAUAAGCCCCGGCUAACUUCGUGCCAGCGGCCGCGGUAAUACGAAGGGGGCUAGCGUUGUUCGGAAUCACUGGGCGUAAAGGGCGCGUAGGCGGACGAUUAAGUCAGGGGUGAAAUCCCGGGGCUCAACCUCGGAAUUGCCCUUGAUACUGGUUGUCUUGAGAUUGGAAGAGGUAAGUGGAAUUGCGAGUGUAGAGGUGAAAUUCGUAGAUAUUCGCAAGAACACCGGUGGCGAAGGCGACUUACUGGUCCAUAUCUGACGCUGAGGCGCGAAAGCGUGGGGAGCAAACAGGAUUAGAUACCCUGGUAGUCCACGCCGUAAACGAUGGAUGCCAGCUGUUGGGGAGCAUGCUCUUCAUUGGCGCAGUCAAC
This 810-nucleotide ribosomal RNA is filed under the name uncultured bacterium. RNAcentral describes it as "bacterial SSU rRNA". It matches the Rfam family "Bacterial small subunit ribosomal RNA", at positions 1 to 856 of the family's 1533-position model. The record is from RNAcentral.